This 497-nucleotide ribosomal RNA is filed under the name uncultured bacterium. RNAcentral's name for it is "partial 16S ribosomal RNA". It matches the Rfam family "Bacterial small subunit ribosomal RNA", at positions 28 to 507 of the family's 1533-position model. The record is from RNAcentral.
GAUGAACGCUGGCGGCGUGCCUAAUACAUGCAAGUCGAGCGAACUGACGAGAAGCUUGCUUUUCUGAUGUUAGCGGCGGACGGGUGAGUAACACGUGGAUAACCUACCUAUAAGACUGGGAUAACUUCGGGAAACCGGAGCUAAUACCGGAUAAUAUUUUGAACCGCAUGGUUCAAGAGUGAAAGACGGUCUUGCUGUCACUUAUAGAUGGAUCCGCGCUGCAUUAGCUAGUUGGUAAUGUAACGGCUUACCAAGGCAACGAUGCAUAGCCGACCUGAGAGGGAGAUCGGCCACACUGGCACUGAGACACGGUCCAGACUCCUACGGUAGGCAGCAGUAGGGAAUCUUACGCAAUGGGCGAAAGCCUGACGGAGCAACGCCGCGUGAGUGAUGAAGGUCUUCGGAUCGUAAAACUCUGUUAUUAGGGAAGAACAUAUGUGUAAGUAACUGUGCACAUCUUGACGGUACCUAAUCAGAAAGCCACGGCUAACUACGUG